This 253-nucleotide ribosomal RNA is filed under the name uncultured bacterium. RNAcentral describes it as "partial 16S ribosomal RNA". It matches the Rfam family "Bacterial small subunit ribosomal RNA", at positions 524 to 776 of the family's 1533-position model. The record is from RNAcentral.
UACGAAGGGGGCUAGCGUUGUUCGGAAUUACUGGGCGUAAAGCGCACGUAGGCGGUCUUUUAAGUCGGUGGUGAAAUCCUGGAGCUCAACUCCAGAACUGCCUUCGAUACUGGAAGACUUGAGUCCGGGAGAGGUGAGUGGAACUGCGAGUGUAGAGGUGAAAUUCGUAGAUAUUCGCAGGAACACCAGUGGCGAAGGCGGCUCACUGGCCCGGUACUGACGCUGAGGUGCGAAAGCGUGGGGAGCAAACAGG